CAGCCACAUCGUCAGCCCAGACCAAAGGUCAACUAAAACUUCACUUCAGACGCUCCAUUUUGUUUAGCCUGUUUGGAAGACUGUCUUUCAAAGAGACGAAGGAAAGAGGGAACUUGUUUUAUCGGCUCUUCUCAUUCUGUCGCCAAUUGUGAUAUCCGGUGUAACCAGUCCCUCCAUUCAAAAGACGCGCGGUGAAGAGAGUCUGAGGGGAUUCUGUGGGAAUCAGAAGACGGACACAAAGCAGGUGGGUGAAAUAUGUCGGUUAAAAAAGAAACAUAAGUUAUUGUUAGAGACGUUUGUAGUGAGUGUUGUAUAUGGGUAAGAAUGAAACUGACGCAGAUUGGUAGGAGGUAGGAUAGCCGAAUGAUACUCUCGACCACCGUCAUCUUUAGCGGAACUCGGAUAUUAAGAAAAUAUUAUUACAUUUAGCAAUUCUUGGACUUUCUCAAGCAUAUCCUUGGCACAGCCUAUUAAAAACAUCAGCCACUAAACAGAAGUAGUUCAUAGCAGUAUA
Molecule: long non-coding RNA, 514 nt
Organism: Clupea harengus (Atlantic herring)
Lineage: Eukaryota; Metazoa; Chordata; Actinopteri; Clupeiformes; Clupeidae
Source: Ensembl